UACGGAGGGUGCAAGCGUUAUCCGGAUUCACUGGGUUUAAAGGGUGCGUAGGUGGGCUGGUAAGUCCGUGGUGAAAUCUCCGAGCUUAACUCGGAAACUGCCGUGGAUACUAUCAGUCUUGAAUAUCGUGGAGGUAAGCGGAAUAUGUCAUGUAGCGGUGAAAUGCUUAGAUAUGACAUAGAACACCGAUAGCGAAGGCAGCUUGCUACACGAUCAUUGACACUGAGGCACGAAAGCGUGGGGAUCAAACAGG
Molecule: ribosomal RNA, 253 nt
Filed under: uncultured bacterium
Lineage: Bacteria
Description: partial 16S ribosomal RNA
Rfam family: Bacterial small subunit ribosomal RNA
Source: RNAcentral